CACGUAGGGUGCGAGCGUUGUCCGGAAUUAUUGGGCGUAAAGAGCUCGUAGGCGGUGUGUCGCGUCGGCCGUGAAAACCUGCAGCUUAACUGUGGGCUUGCGGUCGAUACGGGCAUCACUGGAGUUCGGCAGGGGAGACUGGAAUUCCUGGUGUAGCGGUGAAAUGCGCAGAUAUCAGGAGGAACACCGGUGGCGAAGGCGGGUCUCUGGGCAGUAACUGACGCUGAGGAACGAAAGCGUGGGUAGCGAACAGG
This 254-nucleotide ribosomal RNA is filed under the name uncultured bacterium. RNAcentral's name for it is "partial 16S ribosomal RNA". It matches the Rfam family "Bacterial small subunit ribosomal RNA", at positions 524 to 776 of the family's 1533-position model. The record is from RNAcentral.